CCCUUUGGGGUGUGACUGCGUACCUUUUGUAUAAUGGGUCAGCGACUUAUAUUCUGUAGCAAGGUUAACCGUAUAGGGGAGCCGGAGGGAAACCGAGUCUUAACCGGGCGUUAAGUUGCAGGGUAUAGACCCGAAACCCGGUGAUCUAGCCAUGGGCAGGUUGAAGGUUGGGUAACACUAACUGGAGGACCGAACCGACUAAUGUUGAAAAAUUAGCGGAUGACCUGUGGCUGGGGGUGAAAGGCCAAUCAAACCGGGAGAUAGCUGGUUCUCCCCGAAAGCUAUUUAGGUAGCGCCUCGUGAAUUCAUCUCCGGGGGUAGAGCACUGUUUCGGCUAGGGGGCCAUCCCGGCUUACCAACCCGAUGCAAACUGCGAAUACCGGAGAAUGUUAUCACGGGAGACACACGGCGGGUGCUAACGUCCGUCGUGAAGAGGGAAACAACCCAGACCGCCAGCUAAGGUCCCAAAGUCAUGGUUAAGUGGGAAACGAUGUGGGAAGGCCCAGACAGCCAGGAUGUUGGCUUAGAAGCAGCCAUCAUUUAAAGAAAGCGUAAUAGCUCACUGGUCGAGUCGGCCUGCGCGGAAGAUGUAACGGGGCUAAACCAUGCACCGAAGCUGCGGCAGCGACGCUGAUGCGUUGUUGGGUAGGGGAGCGUUCUGUAAGCCUGCGAAGGUGGCCUGUGAGGGUUGCUGGAGGUAUCAGAAGUGCGAAUGCUGACAUAAGUAACGAUAAAGCGGGUGAAAAGCCCGCUCGCCGGAAGACCAAGGGUUCCUGUCCAACGUUAAUCGGGGCAGGGUGAGUCGACCCCUAAGGCGAGGCCGAAAGGCGUAGUCGAUGGGAAACGGGUUAAUAUUCCCGUACUUGGUGUUACUGCGAAGGGGGGACGGAGAAGGCUAUGUUGGCCGGGCGACGGUUGUCCCGGUUUAAGCGUGUAGGUGUGUGUUCCAGGUAAAUCCGGUU
RNAcentral lists this ribosomal RNA (962 nucleotides) under Salmonella enterica subsp. enterica serovar Brandenburg. RNAcentral's name for it is "partial 23S ribosomal RNA". It matches the Rfam family "Bacterial large subunit ribosomal RNA", at positions 582 to 1547 of the family's 2925-position model. The record is from RNAcentral. Lineage: Bacteria; Pseudomonadati; Pseudomonadota; Gammaproteobacteria; Enterobacterales; Enterobacteriaceae.